AACGAACGCUGGCGGCAGGCCUAACACAUGCAAGUCGAGCGGACCCUUCGGGGUUAGCGGCGGACGGGUGAGUAACGCGUGGGAAUAUGCCCUUCUCUACGGAAUAGUCCUGGGAAACUGGGGGUAAUACCGUAUACGCCCUUUGGGGGAAAGAUUUAUCGGGGAAGGAUUAGCCCGCGUUGGAUUAGGUAGUUGGUGGGGUAAUGGCCUACCAAGCCGACGAUCCAUAGCUGGUUUGAGAGGAUGAUCAGCCACACUGGGACUGAGACACGGCCCAGACUCCUACGGGAGGCAGCAGUGGGGAAUCUUAGACAAUGGGGGCAACCCUGAUCUAGCCAUGCCGCGUGAGUGAUAAAGGCCUUAGGGUUGUAAAGCUCUUUCAGCUGGGAAGAUAAUGACGGUACCAGCAGAAGAAGCCCCGGCUAACUCCGUG
This 433-nucleotide ribosomal RNA is filed under the name uncultured bacterium. RNAcentral describes it as "partial 16S ribosomal RNA". It matches the Rfam family "Bacterial small subunit ribosomal RNA", at positions 29 to 507 of the family's 1533-position model. The record is from RNAcentral.